GAUGAACGCUGGCGGCGUGCCUAAUACAUGCAAGUCGAGCGAACGGACGAGAAGCUUGCUUUUCUGAUGUUAGCGGCGGACGGGUGAGUAACACGUGGAUAACCUACCUAUAAGACUGGGAUAACUUCGGGAAACCGGAGCUAAUACCGGAUAAUAUUUUGAACCGCAUGGUUCAAAAGUGAAAGACGGUCUUGCUGUCACUUAUAGAUGGAUUCGCGCUGCAUUAGCUAGUUGGUAAGGUAACGGCUUACCAAGGCAACGAUGCAUAGCCGACCUGAGAGGGUGAUCGGCCACACUGGAACUGAGACACGGUCCAGACUCCUACGGGAGGCAGCAGUAGGGAAUCUUCCGCAAUGGGCGAAAGCCUGACGGAGCAACGCCGCGUGAGUGAUGAAGGUCUUCGGAUCGUAAAACUCUGUUAUUAGGGAAGAACAUAUGUGUAAGUAAUUGUGCACAUCUUGACGGUACCUAAUCAGAAAGCCACGGCUAACUACGUG
This 497-nucleotide ribosomal RNA is filed under the name uncultured bacterium. Its description in RNAcentral is "partial 16S ribosomal RNA". It matches the Rfam family "Bacterial small subunit ribosomal RNA", at positions 28 to 507 of the family's 1533-position model. The record is from RNAcentral.